CUCGUGCGCGGUUGCCAGGGGUUACAGCCUGACAUUUCAGUCGCUAUAAACAAACCUGCAGGAAGCCAAACUGUGAAGAACACCGUGUUUUCUGUGGUUUUAUUCAAUUUAGGAAUCAACUCCUCGCUUUACAGCGAUCAUAAUUAGUGUAAAAGGUCAGAAAGACUUUUCGGCUUUAUGAUGGCGGAUUCAGAUUUAGGUACAGCAGAAAAAGCAGACAGCUCUGCAGACCCUUAUGAAAGGACAGUGAAGUACCUGGAGAGCCAUAACAUUCUGCAGAUAUUCCAGGAAAUCACAGAGAGCCUGGUUUAUGACAGACCUGAUGACCCCCUGCAGUUUAUGUUAGAGCAGUUGCAGAAGAAGAUCCGAGUGCGUGAGGGGUCAAGCGAAGCUGCAAAAGCUGAAUAGUUUGCUCAGAAAUGGGACUGUGCAGCAUACAAUGAAAAGUAUGUUAGCCACAUAUUUGCAUACUGGCAUUAUUUUUCCUCAGAUGCAGUCAUAAUUGCAGCUCCUAUUGUAAAAAAAAAAAAAAAACAGAUUUAUUUCCUAUUUUGCUUUGACAAUCCUGUUUGGUUUCUUUUAUGAGAUAUUAUUUGUAUUCGCAUCAAAGAGACUUGUUCCAACAGACACGGCUUCAAAGCAACCAUCGUUUGGAAACUCAGUGAGCAGGGCGAAGAGAAUUUCCUGAGGGGGGAAAACAUGCUAAAAAAAAACCACAUGUUUUUGUGCUUUAUAAGAGCAAGAUCGGUAAAUUGGUAAAGUCCUCCAGGUGAUGAGGAAAAAUCGAUCCAUCCUAAGAGUAUGAUGAAAGUAGAUUUGUACUAAGAAACUGGCUUUAGGUUUGCAGUGAAAACAAACACUGGCUCACACGCUGUAUUCAGAUUUGCAUGAGGGUAUUUUGGCUGUAGGAGUAAAGGAAGUCUUUGUUUAUAGUAGGUUUACCUUUCAGUGUAUCGCUCUGGUCAUCAUCCUGCGCUUUGAAGCUGCAUCUGCUGUUUCAGCUGCGCCACAUAAAGCCCUGUUAAGUACAUCCUUUCUCUGUGAUUUAAGGGGAGCCAGAAGCGCAGGGCUGAAAAACAAGAAACGUCUCUCCAUCCUGGUGGAUUAAGCACGAAUGAGAAUUGGAUUUCAGUGCGUAAGGUUAGAACAGACCGUUUUCUUUCUUUUCUUUUUUUUUUUUUACUCAGAAUAAGCGCAUCUGACAGCGUGCUGUUACUCAGGAACAUCAAUGAAUCUUAAUAAAGCCUGACAGUCAUCCUUCAUCAAUCAGGUUAUAGGAAUUGGUUAUAGGAUCUUCAUAACGAUCUUAUCAAAGCUGAUAAGUGGAUGAACGGAAUCGUGAAAUUAAUAUGCAUUAGUGUUUUACAUUUCUUCGAUUUGUAAGUUUGCUUCUACACAGGCAUGUGCUGAUCAUCAGGAGUAUAGUAAGUAAGGAAUAAAACAUCAUCAUCAUCCAUGUCAUGGUGUUACAGGAAAAUAAUCAGUGAUGAAGUUACUGUCAGCACCCCGACGUUGAUUGUUGCCCUUUAACAGCACGUCCUGAAAUGUUUUAUUCCUCUGAUACCACAAUACUAACAGUUUUCCAACAAUUACAGUUUUUUUUUUGCUGAUGAAAGAACGACAUAUCAUACUUUUUAUCCAUUUGUAGUUACACAUAAUGUUGUGAAACAAAUUAGUUCCUGUUAUCACUUAGCAGCUAUAAACAGUCAUUCCCUCACCAGCCUCUCUCUCUCUCUCUCUCUCUUUUUUUAAAUUAAUGAGACAAAAAAACAAAAUUCAGCUUGUCAUGUUGCAGAGAACCCGCAAAGUGUAAACUCCUCUAUCCUGAAGAUGUCAGAAAACAUAAAGUUACAGCUUUACCUCUGAGCGCUGACACUGGAGACUCAUUCCAUAACUGUUAAACGAAGCUUUCCUUACGGAAAACGUCACCAUAUCAACAAUUACACACCUUUUUUUUAAUCGAUUUACCUGAAGCGACUGCUGUACAACCCGUCCCUGCGAACGAGCUGUUACUACAGAAACAAAAAGUUAUUAGAACGAGGGCAUUAAUAUAAACCUGAGAUUUGCAGCUGCACUACUGUCAGAGCUGCUGUUCUGGGAAAUUAAUCAACUCAGAUCAAUCCCAGUAGAAUUCAGCAGUGCUGUGGGAUAUACUGAGUUAUUUAACACGAACAAUAUUGUUAUAAUAAAAAACACCAUCACUACAAUUGCAGUCCAUUGACAAAAAUAAAGCCUCUCCAUUGUCUCCCAUAGCGACAGUUACUUUCUAAAGUUUGUAAUUUUCACAACAUAAUUCACAACAGGUACGUUUUUAAACCUCACAUGAAAGCAUAUUUGUUUUCUAUGGCUUUUAAUUGUUGAUUUUUGGAAGAUGUAAAUUGUUUUAAUUUUUUCUUCAAGGUUAUUUUCAUUUUUCUGUUUUGUUGAUUUUUGUUUUAGUAUCCUUGUAUUUUUGUGCUGCUGUACAGUCCUUUGGUCUACUUUGUAGUGGAAAAGGCUCUAUAAAUAAAGUAGACUUGAGACUUUAAAUACAGUACAGUAAUAAUAUCGUAAAGCAGGAUAGAAGUUAACUUUAAUAUCGACAUAUGCCUACAUGUAGAACACCAUUUCACUCUGUUUAUCUGCACUUUCAAGUCAUAAUAGAUG
Molecule: RNA transcript, 2646 nt
Organism: Pangasianodon hypophthalmus (striped catfish)
Lineage: Eukaryota; Metazoa; Chordata; Actinopteri; Siluriformes; Pangasiidae
Gene: tex55
Gene name: testis expressed 55
Exons: 4
Source: RefSeq, a predicted model, not a curated record